UACGUAGGGGGCUAGCGUUGUUCGGAAUCACUGGGCGUAAAGCGCGCGUAGGCGGCUUUCUAAGUCAGGGGUGAAAUCCUGGAGCUCAACUCCAGAACUGCCUUUGAUACUGGAGAGCUUGAGUCCGGAAGAGGUGAGUGGAACUCCGAGUGUAGAGGUGAAAUUCGUAGAUAUUCGGAAGAACACCAGUGGCGAAGGCGGCUCACUGGGCCGGUACUGACGCUGAUGUGCGAAAGCGUGGGGAGCAAACAGG
Molecule: ribosomal RNA, 253 nt
Filed under: uncultured bacterium
Lineage: Bacteria
Description: partial 16S ribosomal RNA
Rfam family: Bacterial small subunit ribosomal RNA
Source: RNAcentral